UUUGUACAUUGACACAUCCAAUUCGUGAUAGCCUUUAUUUCCUUCUACAUCCAACUGAUCUUGGAAUCUUUGAGCUUGUAAUUCAAUUUGUACCUCCAAUUCAUCCAUAUUCAGAUAACCCUUCUAGAUUUGAUCUUCCAAGAGUUGACAGAUGAUGUUAUCAUCCAUUGAUAAAAUUUGACAAGUCCAUAAUCUAGAAAUCAAUUCAAUAAUAUUGGUGGAUUAAUGGUGUCAGUUGAAGAAUUUCACAGAAGGAAUCGGAGAAAGAAUUAGGAGGAUUAGGAGGAAGAAUUGAAUAGGAGAGAGAAGAAAGAAUCAGUAAGGACCAGAGAUAGAACAGAGAGAGGGGAAAGGAAGAAAGAAAUAGAGAUGAAGAAAGAUCUUGCAAUUGCUGGGUCCCAAAAGCUUCCAUCCGAGGAUUGGAAGCUGUGAUACCAAUUUUAAUGAUUUGGUUCCAGAAAAUAGGGAGAAAGGAGAGAAUAUAGAAAAGAAAGAGGAGUUUCAGAGAAUAGAAUCAGAAAAUGCAGAGGAAAGAGGAGAGAAUCGUAUUAUUUAGGAAGAGGGAGACUUUUCACAACUCAAUUCUUCCCUUCACUACAUAGGUCAUCCUUUAUUUAUACAAUCAAUUGAUCCAGUUAGAAUCUAAUUAACUCGUAUUUUAAGUGUUUCUAACUAACUCACUCUUAACUAAUUUUUGAGUUGACAAGUAGUAUAACAACUUAUUGAUCAUCACCCUAUUUGCUUAGAUGGUCAACUCCUCCUUGGGUCAUAACAUUAGCCUUUAAUUGUGAUAAUUUUGAGGAGUUAUAUUUGCAAUGAGAAUUGAAAUUUAACACUAAUUUAUAAAAGUAAUAAACCUAGCGAGUACACUCACAAGAGUAGAAGUGCAUUUUUGUAGUUUUGGUGAUUUUUUGUUCCAUGUAAUUUCAUAGAACUUCAUGAAUUUAUAAAUAGUUUCAUAAUCAUGAGAGUAGGUAUGGAAUAGUUAUACGUAUAGUUGAUUCACUACGAGAGUAGGUUUUAUAUGCAUUAGGAUAUUAUGGCAUGGUUAGCUGAGGUAGUAGUGCCCAAUGAUCCGAAAUUUAUACUUGUAUGAAUAGUUAGGGAUAUCAUAACCUAAAGAGCUUUCAUUUGUUAUUUUCUUGUGGAUUUUAGCGUAGUUUUAUUUCUUUCAAUUUGUUAAUCAUCUAAAUAAUAAAAGAGUUUUAGUAGUACAGUAAUUAUCUAUUUUUCCUUGCAGAUUCGAGUCUUAAUACCCUAUACUCAAUUUUGACUCAUAUACUUGCGAAAAAUCACGUGUGAAAUAUUUAAAAUUUUAUAAAUAUAAAACUUGAUUGUAGAUUGAACGUACGAUUGUAUGUACACCCCACGCUUGUCAAGUCCAAUUAGUAUACGGUUGGCUUUUAGUUUAUGUCCAAGUCUGUGAUUAAAGUUAAUUUGGUAGAUUCCUUAUCCAUUAUAGGUUUCCAAUUAGCAAGUAUAGUACUAGUCAAAAUUUUUUCAUAUUUUCCUUCUAAUGUUUAUUAGCUCUUAGUUUCCCGUAGUGCUCUGGCAAUUCCAAAACCGCUCAACCAAUCCAAGUCUUAGUCCAAGCAUCUACUGGAUUAUGUAUUUAGUUUUGAGAUUGUUUUAGCUAUUAGGAAACAGACUACUCCAUAUAUACAUGUAUUAGUCUAGUACACUGUUUCUUAAAGAAUUGAGUCGAGUUUUGAAAAAUGAGUUGCAAAAAACCUUGAGAGCUUGUUGAGUUGUUGGAUAAGUGGAAAAGUCCCUAAGAAUUGUACUUAGUGAGUUGUCAUAAGUGAGAGGUUAUGACUUAAUAUUGUAAUUGUUGAGUUUUGAGUUAAUAAAAUCAUUGAGUAUUUGUUUGCAUGUUUAUUUUCCUUCUUUUUCUGCAUAUUUUUAUAUAUGCUAAAAUUGCUUUCGUUGGUGUAAUUUCUUGUGUCAACAAGUGGCAUCAAAGCUUUGGAUUUUGAUCUUGGGACUUGUUUACGAAAUUAGGACACAAAAAUAGAAGAUUUGUUGUUGAAAAUUAAGACACUAAAUUGGUCCUAACUGAGUAGAGAUUAAAAAAUUUGAAAUAUGGAUCUGUAUUAUUUAUAAUAUUGUAUUGUUUUUAACUUCAAUGGUAAAAAUGAAUUUGAAACUUGGAGUAUGAUGAUGAAGACAUUUUCUCAAGCUAUUAGAGUUUUGAGAUAUUGUCCAAAUGGGGUUUUCUCAAGAAUUGGAGAGAAAUAUAAAGUUGGAUCGCAAAGAAUUGUUUCAAUACCGAAGUCUACUUGCAUGUAUUCAAAAAAGUCAUACAUGUAAAGAUGGCAAGGGAGGCUUGAAUAGUUUUGGCAAAUUCUAAUCAGGGUGCACUUGAAGAUGAAAAAAUUUUGGUUCGAACAGAAAUUUCACAUGUGAUCGAGAAAUAAAGUGAAUCAUUAGUGAAAUUACUGAUGUGACCAAAGAUCCUGAUGAGUUAGAAAUUUUUAAUUUUGUGAGAGUUGAUGAAUUAUUUGAAGAAGAAAAUCAAAUAGUUGAGUUUGUUAAGAACAAUUAUGGAGUAGACAAUUUAGUUGAAGAUUGUGGUUGUACUAAAACUGAUGUAGUUGUUAGUAUAAACUAAACAGAACAAGAUUGUGGUGGUAUUAAUAACUUUGUUGGUGGAAAUUAUGAUUUUGUGUAUACAAUUUGAGUUUGAGGAAUGCCCCAAUCACCCACCUCAAAUUGUCUUUCAGUCCAAUUUUUGUUAGCAAAGACCUUCAUCCUAUUUUGAGCCUUAGUUAGAUGUUCCUUAAUGGUUUGCAACAUGAAUACUCUGUCUUAUACAAAUGAAUUGGUAACAGGAGUGAAUGUGUCAAAGUGAGGUCCCAGAGGCAGAGGUGAAGGCUCAUAACCAUAUAAUGCUUCAAAAGGUGACAAUUUCAAGCUUGUGUGAUAAGAGGAAUUGUACCACCAUUUUGCUAAAUUAUGCCACUUACUGAUUAGGCAUAUCUCUUAUCAUGCACCUUAAAAAUGACUCUGAGCAUUGAUUUAGUCUUUCACUGUGUCUAUCCAUUUGUGUAUGGUAGGAUGAACUAUAAUGCAAUUCAAUUCCCACUAGUCUAAACAUCUCUUGUCAAAACUUACUAGUGAAAACUUUAUCUGUUAGUAAUAAUAGACUCUGGAAGCCCAUGUAGUUUGUAAAUAUUCUCUAGAAACAAGUAAGCCACCUGCAGAGCUGAGAAUGGAUGGGUUAAUGGAAUGAAAUGGCCAAAUUUGGUCAAUCUAUCAACUACUACUAAUACCAUGUCAAACCCUUGAGAAAUAUGAAACCCUUCCACAAAAUUCAUAAUGAUGAGAGACAAAGCCUGAGUAGGAUUGGGAAGGGGCUGCAAUAAUCCUGGAUGUGGAAGAUGCUCAACCUUAUUUCUUUGACAAGCAUCACAGUGUUGUAUAAACUGAAUGAUAUCUUAUUUCAUUUAAGGCCAGUAAAACAAUCCUUUAAUCCUUUGCAGACAUGCCCUCUGUCCUGAGUGACCUCCAAUAGAAGACUCAUAUAAUGCCUUCAUCAACCUCUGUCUAACAUUAUUGCCACUCCUAACAUAUAGUUUGUUUUUGCAUUUAAGUAGGCCUUGCACUAUUUGAUACUAAUCAUCCUGAUGUGACGAUAUUAAUGCUAGUUAUCUUAGCAAUUCUUGGCUUUGUUCAUCACCCUCAUUACUAGCCUGCAUUUCCUCUAUCCAUAAUGGUUUCAUAGCGGUCGAAGCCAUAAGAGAUUGAGCAUGUUCCUUCCCAACUAUCAUGCCAGAUUCUCUCCCGGAUAGCACAUCUGCUAUAAUGUUUUCUGCACCCUUUUUUAUACUAGAUUUCAUAAUAUAAACCUAGUAGCUUAGUCAACCACUUAUAUUGGGCAAUAGUAGUCAACCUUUGUUCCAACAAAUAUUUCAAGGGCUGGUGAUCAGUCCUGAUAAUAAAAUGACUACCAACCAAAUAGUGUCUUCACUUAGUGAUUUCUAGAACUAAUGCCAUCAAUUCUUUUUCGUACACAAACAGACCCAAGAAUUAGGUGGAAACUGCUCUACCAAUGAAUGCUAUUGGAUGGCCUUCUUGCAAUAACACUGCCCCCAUCCCAAUUCCCGAAGCAUCUGUUUCUACUAUGAAAGGAAUAUUAAAAUCUGGUAGUCUCAAUACUAGAGAUUGAUUGAUUGCCAACUUGAGCAAAUCAAAUGAUUCUCGUGACUCUGUACCCUAAGUAAAUGUAUCCUUCUGCAAUAAGGAAGUCAGUGAUUUAUAUAUAGUGCCAGAUCCUUUGAUAAAACACCGAUGAUAUCUUGUUAAUCCCAAAAAUUUCCUUAGUUUUUUAGCAGUUUUUGGUGUUCGCCAUGUCAUUAUGCAUUCCACUUUACUGCUGUCCAUAGUGACCCCUUGAUUAGAAAUUCCAUGCCCCAAAUAUUCCACUCUCCUUUGUGCAAAAGAGUACUUAGAAAAUUUAGCAAACAAGCUGUUUUCUUUAAGAACAAUCAAUACUUGUCUUAGAUGUUCAACAUGACCUGGUAGUGUAGGCCUAUACACCAAGAUAUCAUAGAAAAAUACCAAUACAAAUUUCCUCCGAAAAGAGCCAAAUACCUGGUUCAUAAGAGCUUGGAAAGUAGCAGAAGCAUUUGUUAGGCCAAAGGGUAUGACAAGAAAUUCACAGUGUCCUUGGUGUGUUUGAAAAGUAGUUUUGUAAGUAUCCACUACUUUGACUCUGAUCUGAUGACAUCUUAAUCUCAGAUCAAUUUUGGUGAAGCACUUUGCUCUAUGCAACUCACCCAACAAUUUAUCAAUGUUGGGAAUUGGACAUCUGUCCUUGAAAGUUAUGUCAUUUAAGUGUCUAUAGUCCACACAAAAGUGCCAAAUAUUGUCUUUCUUCUUUACCAGUAGCACUGGUGAAGCAUAUGGGCUACAACUAUGUUUAAUAAGUUCUGCCUGCAACAUUUCAGCUACUUGCUUCUCAAUUUCAUCCUUAUGUGAAUGAGGAUAUCUAUAGGGUUUCUUCAUCUUAAAAUGUUGUGAUCCAAGUUUAAGAGGAAUUCGGUGAUCCAGCUCUUUAGAAGUCGGUAACUAUUUGGGAUAUUCAAAGACUUCAUGAAAUUGAUCCAACAUUUCAGUUAUUAGCUCUGGUGUCUCCCUUUGCUGUUUAGUUGAGUCAUUGAGCUGCAGCAAAUUAUUAUAACAUCUCCUCUUGGUUUGUGAAAAACUUCUGAGGUUUUUUUUCCUUACUAGAUCCAUGUUGGCUUCAUUAACUGCACCAUGCAAAGUGAUAGCUUCACUCUGAUGGAAUAUUGACAGACUGAAUUUGUGGAAAUCAAAUGUAAUGGAGCAGUAGUGAUACAUCUAAUCAACCCCCAGAAUUAUGUCCUAUUCUCCCAGUUCCAUAAUUCUUAAGUUAUAACAAAACCCAUACCUCUGCAUAUUCCACAGAACCUUUGGACACUUAGCAUAGCUAGUUACAUAACUUUUAUCCCCCAUGAUCAUAAUAAAAGGUUUGAUGUAUUCAUAAGGAAUUCCCAUCUCAGAAACUAGUUUAUGAUGAAUAUAGCUGCAAGAACUUCUAGCAUCCAUUAGUAUCUUAAUAGUUUCACCAGCAACCUUUCCCUAGAUCAAGAUAGUAUUUCUUCUUAAAAAGUCAGAAAAUGCAUUCAAGGACAUCUCUAUAGAUUCUCCAGGAUCUCCAAGGUACUCAUCUUGCUCCCCAAUAGAAUCAACAAAUUCAGUUUCAUCAUCUUCUUCACACAACAAAAAAUUAAAGAUGUUUCAUCCUGCAUUGAUGACCUACCACAUACUUUUCUCCACAGUUAAAGCAAAGUCCAUUGUUUCUUCUAAACUGAGUCUCUUGAGGUGAAAUUUUCUUUUUAGUUUCUGAAGCCUUACUAGUUCCUUCUUACCACUCUAUUGUGUAGGCAACUUAUAAUGAUAAUUUCCCCUACUAAUGCAUGUAGGACUCUUCUAUAGCCCAAAUUUUGGUUAUGUUAACACUUUAUUUCCUUCUUUUAACUAUUUUGAACUAUUCAAGGCUUGUUCUUGCAGAUAUGCCAUCUUUACUGCUCCAAAAAGGGUUACAGGUUUGAGCAUCUUUAACAUGGGUUUAAUCUCUUCCUUCAGUCCACUAGUAAAACCUGAAAUGACAUAUUCCUCACUCAAGCAAGGAUUCUUGAUCAACAUUAAGGUUUUUAAUUCUUUAAAUUUUUCCUGGUAUAUUUCAGCAGUGGUGGUCUACUACAACUUAUUAAAUUCCUUAACAAUGUCUUUGCUAAAAUGCUUAGAAAAUCUUCGACAUAGAAGUUCCUCAAAUUAAGUCCAAGUGAUUCUAGGUUUUUCUAAUUUGAUUUCUUGAAACCAAUUAUCAGCUUUACCUUCCAAAAACAUUUCCACCACAAACAUUUUUUGCUCAUCCAGAAUUUUAUUAACCAAGAAGUACUUAUUGUAUUUUCUUAACCAUUCCCUUGGUGCAUUUCCACAAAACAUGGGUAACUCAACUUUGGGAAAUUGUAGGAGAAAUUCUUACCUAGCAUAUCGCAGCUUUUGACUUCUAAAUCCACCCCCAUAUUCAAUUUCAGGUUGCUGUGAGGUUUUGGGAAUAAGGGAAAGCGAUCUCCUCCACUUCGAUCCUCCUCCGCCCGUUAUUCAGCAACAUCUUGACCAGUGAAUUAAAUUUCUGGUUAACAGAAGGAAGUUGUUAUUCAUUCAUC
This 6698-nucleotide long non-coding RNA is filed under the name Coffea arabica (coffee). RNAcentral's name for it is "long non-coding RNA (CARA_LNC001803)". The record is from RNAcentral. Lineage: Eukaryota; Viridiplantae; Streptophyta; Magnoliopsida; Gentianales; Rubiaceae.